GGGGGUGAUCUGGCAGUGACAUCUGACAUCCCAUUGAUGGUCAGUCUUGAUUUUAUUGGUCUGGCUGGCUAGGUGGGUGUCCCAUUACUCCCUC
RNAcentral lists this small nuclear RNA (94 nucleotides) under Neotoma lepida (desert woodrat). RNAcentral describes it as "7SK RNA". It matches the Rfam family "7SK RNA", at positions 7 to 100 of the family's 331-position model. Rfam says of the family: 7SK was discovered as an abundant small nuclear RNA in the mid-70s but a possible function has only recently been suggested. Two independent studies have found that 7SK RNA binds the CDK9/cyclin T complex (known as elongation factor P-TEFb). Lineage: Eukaryota; Metazoa; Chordata; Mammalia; Rodentia; Cricetidae. The record is from Rfam by way of RNAcentral.